UUUAAUUUAAUAUAGGAUCUGCUCAAUGAUUUAUUAAAUAGCUGCAGUAUUUUGACUGUGCAAAGGUAGCAUAAUAAUUAGUCUUUUAAUUGAGGACUUGAAUGAAAGAUUUGAUGAGAAAUAAACUUUAUUAUUUAUAUAAUUAAAAUUUUAUUUUUAAGUAAAAAAGCUUAAAUUAUUUAAAGGGACGAUAAGACCCUAUAAAACUUUAUAGAUAUUAAUUUUAGUUUUUUUGGUUAUAUAAAUAUAUUAAUUUUAUUAUUUAUUUUAUUGGGGUGAUAAAAAAAAUUAUAAAACUUUUUUUAAAAUUUAACAUUAGUUAAUGAAUUUUUGAAUUAAAAUUUUUAAUUAAAGGAAAAAGUUACUUUAGGGAUAACAGCGUAAUUAAUUUUUUAAGUUCAAAUUUGAAAAUUAGUUUGCGACCUCGAUGUUGAAUUAAGAUUAAUCUUAGGUGCAAAAUUUUAAGUAUUAGGUCUGUU
This 479-nucleotide ribosomal RNA is filed under the name Pleotrichophorus blackmani. RNAcentral's name for it is "Pleotrichophorus sp. 1 MRM-2021c partial large subunit ribosomal RNA". The record is from RNAcentral. Lineage: Eukaryota; Metazoa; Arthropoda; Insecta; Hemiptera; Aphididae.